AUUCAUCUUCGGGGCAGGGUGAAAAUCCCGACCGGCGGUAAUAGAGUGCUAAACCGUUAAUGUUUAUUCAUUAACUCGAAUGGUUUAGGCAAAACUCUUUAGCCCGCGACCUGUGCAAAUUUAUUUGCAUGGCUGACUUGGUGAAAUUCCAAGGCCGACAGUUACAGUCUGGAUGGGAGAAGAUGGAG
RNAcentral lists this non-coding RNA (188 nucleotides) under Lysinibacillus sphaericus. Its description in RNAcentral is "Lysinibacillus sp. FMN sequence". It matches the Rfam family "FMN riboswitch aptamer (RFN element)". From Rfam's summary of the family: The RFN element is a highly conserved domain that is found frequently in the 5'-untranslated regions of prokaryotic mRNAs that encode for flavin mononucleotide (FMN) biosynthesis and transport proteins. This element is a metabolite-dependent riboswitch that directly binds FMN in the absence of proteins. The record is from RNAcentral. Lineage: Bacteria; Bacillati; Bacillota; Bacilli; Caryophanales; Bacillaceae.